UGUGAGCGGACCGCGGGCGCUGGGCGGGUCCGCGGCGCGGUCGGUCGGCGCCUAUUCUCGGGCUCUUUGGCGGGUGAAUCAGGUCUAGGAAAAUCGACUCUCAUAAACAGCCUAUUCCUAACUGAUCUCUACCCAGAAAGAGUCAUACCUGGAGCAGCAGUUUGUUUCUUUUCUAGAAAAAAUUGAAAGAACUGUCCAGAUUGAGGCUUCAACUGUUGAAAUUGAAGAGCGAGGGGUCAAGCUACGCCUGACAGUGGUAGAUACCCCUGGCUAUGGUGACGCUAUCAACUGCAGAGAUUGUUUUAAGACAAUUAUCUCCUAUAUUGAUGAGCAAUUUGAGAGGUACCUGCAUGACGAGAGCGGCUUGAACAGGAGGCACAUCAUUGAUAAUAGGGUGCAUUGUUGCUUUUACUUUAUUUCACCUUUUGGACAUGGACUUAAGCCCUUAGAUGUGGCGUUUAUGAAGGCAAUACACAACAAGGUGAAUAUUGUGCCUGUCAUUGCAAAAGCUGACACUCUCACUCUGAAGGAACGGGAGCGGCUGAAGAAAAGGAUUCUGGA
Molecule: small RNA, 561 nt
Filed under: Pongo abelii (Sumatran orangutan)
Lineage: Eukaryota; Metazoa; Chordata; Mammalia; Primates; Hominidae
Description: processed transcript
Source: RNAcentral